GAUGAACGCUAGCGGCAGGCUUAAUACAUGCAAGUCGAACGGGAUUCGGGGUAGCAAUACUUUGAUGAGAGUGGCGCACGGGUGCGUAACGCGUAUGCAACCUACCUUUAACAGGUGAAUAGCCCCGAGAAAUCGGGAUUAAUACACCGUAACAUUGCGCUGUGGCAUCACAGUGCAACUAAAGAUUUAUCGGUUAAAGAUGGGCAUGCGUGACAUUAGCUAGUUGGUGAGGUAACGGCUCACCAAGGCAACGAUGUCUAGGGGUCCUGAGAGGGUUAUCCCCCACACUGGUACUGAGACACGGACCAGACUCCUACGGGAGGCAGCAGUAAGGAUAUUGGUCAAUGGGCGCAAGCCUGAACCAGCCAUGCCGCGUGCAGGAAGACGGCCCUAUGGGUUGUAAACUGCUUUUGUCAGGGAUAAACCUGUCUACGUGUAGACAGCUGAAGGUACCUGAAGAAUAAGCAUCGGCUAACUCCGUGCCAGCAGCCG
RNAcentral lists this ribosomal RNA (492 nucleotides) under uncultured bacterium. Its description in RNAcentral is "bacterial SSU rRNA". It matches the Rfam family "Bacterial small subunit ribosomal RNA", at positions 28 to 517 of the family's 1533-position model. The record is from RNAcentral.